UCCAGACUCCUACGGGAGGCAGCAGUGGGGGAUAUUGCACAAUGGGGGGAACCCUGAUGCAGCGACGCCGCGUGGGUGAAGGAGCGUUUCGGCGCGUAAAGCCCUAUCGGCAGGGAAGAAAAUGACGGUACCUGAAGAAGAAGCCCCGGCUAACUACGUGCCAGCAGCCGCGGUAAUACGUAGGGGGCAAGCGUUAUCCGGAUUUACUGGGGGUAAAGGGGGCGCAGACGGCGAUGCAAGCCAGGAGUGAAAGCCCGGGGCCCAACCCCGGGACUGCUCUUGGAACUGCGUGGCUGGAGUGCAGGAGGGGCAGGCGGAAUUCCUGGUGUAGCGGUGAAAUGCGUAGAUAUCAGGAGGAACACCGGUGGCGAAGGCGGCCUGCUGGACGGCAACUGACGUUGAGGCCCGAAAGCGUGGGGAGCAAACAGGAUUAGAUACCCCGGUACAG
This 448-nucleotide ribosomal RNA is filed under the name uncultured bacterium. RNAcentral describes it as "partial 16S ribosomal RNA". It matches the Rfam family "Bacterial small subunit ribosomal RNA", at positions 330 to 793 of the family's 1533-position model. The record is from RNAcentral.